ACUGAGCGGCGGACGGGUGAGUAACGCGUGGGUAACCUGCCUCAUACAGGGGGAUAACAGUUAGAAACGGCUGUUAAUACCGCAUAAGCGCACAGUACCGCAUGGUACGGUGUGAAAAACUCCGGUGGUAUGAGAUGGACCCGCGUCUGAUUAGGUAGUUGGUGGGGUAACGGCCUACCAAGCCGACGAUCAGUAGCCGACCUGAGAGGGUGACCGGCCACAUUGGGACUGAGACACGGCCCAA
RNAcentral lists this ribosomal RNA (244 nucleotides) under uncultured bacterium. RNAcentral describes it as "partial 16S ribosomal RNA". It matches the Rfam family "Bacterial small subunit ribosomal RNA", at positions 90 to 334 of the family's 1533-position model. The record is from RNAcentral.